This 757-nucleotide ribosomal RNA is filed under the name gamma proteobacterium SY005. RNAcentral's name for it is "bacterial SSU rRNA". It matches the Rfam family "Bacterial small subunit ribosomal RNA", at positions 65 to 816 of the family's 1533-position model. The record is from RNAcentral. Lineage: Bacteria; Pseudomonadati; Pseudomonadota; Gammaproteobacteria.
AGCGGUAACAGAAAGUAGCUUGCUACUUUGCUGACGAGCGGCGGACGGGUGAGUAAUGCUUGGGAACAUGCCUUGAGGUGGGGGACAACAGUUGGAAACGACUGCUAAUACCGCAUAAUGUCUACGGACCAAAGGGGGCUUCGGCUCUCGCCUUUAGAUUGGCCCCNGNGGGGAUUAGCUAGUUGGUGAGGUAAUGGCUCACCAAGGCAACGAUCCCUAGCUGGUUUGAGAGGAUGAUCAGCCACACUGGAACUGAGACACGGUCCAGACUNCNACGGGAGGCAGCAGUGGGGAAUAUUGCACAAUGGGCGAAAGCCUGAUGCAGCCAUGCCGCGUGUGUGAAGAAGGCCUUCGGGUUGUAAAGCACUUUCAGUCAGGAGGAAAGGGUGUGAGUUAAUACCUCACAUCUGUGACGUUACUGACAGAAGAAGCACCGGCUAACUCCGUGCCAGCAGCCGCGGUAAUACGGAGGGUGCGAGCGUUAAUCGGAAUUACUGGGCGUAAAGCGUACGCAGGCGGUUUGUUAAGCGAGAUGUGAAAGCCCCGGGCUCAACCUGGGAACUGCAUUUCGAACUGGCAAACUAGAGUGUGAUAGAGGGUGGUAGAAAUUUCNNNNGUAGCGGUGAAAUGCGUAGAGAUCUGAAGGAAUACCGAUGGCNAANGNAGCCACCUGGGUCAACACUGACGCUCAUGUACNAAAGCGUGGGGAGCAAACGGGAUUAGAUACCCCGGUAGUCCACGCCGUNNNGAUGUCUAC